ACUUACAGCCACACCUCUCUUGGGUGUGGGCUGGGCCUGGUCAGUACCUGAUUGGGAAACCACCUGGAAACAAUCUCUGUAGGCU
RNAcentral lists this ribosomal RNA (85 nucleotides) under Monopterus albus (swamp eel). Lineage: Eukaryota; Metazoa; Chordata; Actinopteri; Synbranchiformes; Synbranchidae. The record is from RNAcentral.